This 533-nucleotide ribosomal RNA is filed under the name uncultured Gemmatimonadota bacterium. RNAcentral's name for it is "bacterial SSU rRNA". It matches the Rfam family "Bacterial small subunit ribosomal RNA", at positions 367 to 896 of the family's 1533-position model. Lineage: Bacteria; Pseudomonadati; Gemmatimonadota. The record is from RNAcentral.
CGCAAUGGUCGAAAGACUGACGCAGCGACGCCGCGUGCGGGAGGAAGCCCUUCGGGGUGUAAACCGCUGUUACUCGGGACGAACUUCCCGAUUUGUCGGGAUUGACGGUACCGGGGGAGGAAGCACCGGGCUAACUCUGUGCCAGCAGCCGCGGUAAUACCAGAGGGUGCGAGCGUUGUCCGGAAUCACUGGGCGUAAAGGGCGCGUAGGCGGCUUCUCACGCGUGCGGUGAAAGCCCGGGGCUUAACUCCGGGUCUGCCGUGCGAACGGGGAGGCUUGAGUCUGGUAGAGGUCGAUGGAAUUCCGGGUGUAGCGGUGGAAUGCGUAGAGAUCCGGAAGAACACCGGUGGCGUAAGGCGGUCGACUGGGCCAGUACUGACGCUGAGGCGCGACAGCGUGGGGAGCAAACAGGAUUAGAUACCCUGGUAGUCCACGCCGUAAACGAUGGGCACUAGAUCCUUGGGGGAGCGACCCCUUGAGGGUCGGCGCUAACGCAUUAAGUGCCCCGCCUGGGGAGUACGGCCGCAAGGCUG